RNAcentral lists this ribosomal RNA (465 nucleotides) under uncultured bacterium. RNAcentral's name for it is "bacterial SSU rRNA". It matches the Rfam family "Bacterial small subunit ribosomal RNA", at positions 330 to 792 of the family's 1533-position model. The record is from RNAcentral.
GCCAGACUCCUACGGGAGGCAGCAGUGAGGAAUAUUGGUCAAUGGCCGAGAGGCUGAACCAGCCAAGUCGCGUGAGGGAAGACGGCCCUACGGGUUGUAAACCUCUUUUGUCGGGGAGCAAAAGACGCCACGUGUGGCGUUCCGAGAGUACCCGAAGAAAAAGCAUCGGCUAACUACGUGCCAGCAGCCGCGGUAAUACGUAGGGGGCAAGCGUUAUCCGGAUUUACUGGGUGUAAAGGGAGCGUAGACGGCAUAGCAAGUCUGAAGUGAAAGCCCAAGGCUCAACCAUGGGACUGCUUUGGAAACUGUUAAGCUAGAGUGCUGGAGAGGUAAGCGGAAUUCCUAGUGUAGCGGUGAAAUGCGUAGAUAUUAGGAAGAACACCAGUGGCGAAGGCGGCUUACUGGACAGUAACUGACGUUGAGGCUCGAAAGCGUGGGGAGCAAACAGGAUUAGAUACCCUCGUA